This 130-nucleotide small RNA is filed under the name Dasypus novemcinctus (nine-banded armadillo). Its description in RNAcentral is "TUC338 (ENSDNOG00000039800.1)". The record is from RNAcentral. Lineage: Eukaryota; Metazoa; Chordata; Mammalia; Cingulata; Dasypodidae.
UUGGCAGGUGGUCAGGACAGGUGCAGCACUGGUAGCGACCGUUCCAGCCUUCCCAACAGCAUCCCGUGUAUGUGCCUCGACCCUGCCCUGCAGGGCCACCUCUAGAGUCCUUCACCAUUCAGUGACAGGG